This 293-nucleotide ribosomal RNA is filed under the name uncultured bacterium. RNAcentral describes it as "partial 16S ribosomal RNA". It matches the Rfam family "Bacterial small subunit ribosomal RNA", at positions 505 to 796 of the family's 1533-position model. The record is from RNAcentral.
GUGUCAGCCGCCGCGGUAAAACGUAGGAGGCGAGCGUUAUCCGGAUUUACUGGGUGUAAAGCGCGAGCAGGCGGUGCGGUAAGUGGUGUGUGAAAGCGCUCUGGCUCAACCGGGCGAGGACAUGCCAGACUGCCGGACUCGAGGUAGGUAGAGGCGAGUGGAAUUCCGGGUGUAGUGGUGAAAUGCGUAGAGAUCCGGAGGAACACCAGUGGCGAAGGCGACUCGCUGGGCCUGACCUGACGCUCAGACGCGAAAGCAUGGGGAGCGAACGGGAUUAGAAACCCGUGUAGUCC